Gadus morhua (Atlantic cod) is the source of this 506-nucleotide long non-coding RNA. RefSeq lists it as uncharacterized. The transcript is spliced from 4 exons. The record is from RefSeq and is a predicted model, not a curated record. Lineage: Eukaryota; Metazoa; Chordata; Actinopteri; Gadiformes; Gadidae.
CACACAUGUACAAGUACAUCCUUGGGAUCAUCAAUGAGAACCACCACUGGAAACUCACUGUCAUGAUCCCAUCACAAAAAAAGGCUCUCUUACUCGAUCCUCUUGGGGAAUCCAGUACCGACAUAAAUAGGUGCAAAGAUGUAACAAGAGCCUUCAUGAGACUUAGGGGGAUCAAUGUGUCCAGAUGGGGAUGCGACACAGUCCCACACCCUCGUCAGACUGACAGUACCUCCUGCGGGCCCUUUGUAUUGAAAUUUGCUGAAUGUAUCCUUAAAGGUGAAAACUGCAAAUUCAAUACAUCAAGAAAAGGUGUAGGGGAAAUGCGAAGGGCAAUCGCAACUGCUCUCCUUGAGAAUACUGGUAACUAUUUCCCCCAUGAAAAUAUGUAGUUAUAAUUCUCUUUUUAGGGCUACUUUGCAAAGACAAUGUAAUAUAGAGCAACUGUUACAGUUAAUUUAGGUCAUUAUGAGGAACAUAAUGACCUAAAGUCAUGAUCUUUUAUUAGA